RNAcentral lists this ribosomal RNA (244 nucleotides) under uncultured Staphylococcus sp. Its description in RNAcentral is "partial 16S ribosomal RNA". It matches the Rfam family "Bacterial small subunit ribosomal RNA", at positions 96 to 334 of the family's 1533-position model. Lineage: Bacteria; Bacillati; Bacillota; Bacilli; Caryophanales; Staphylococcaceae. The record is from RNAcentral.
CGGCGGACGGGUGAGUAACACGUGGAUAACCUACCUAUAAGACUGGGAUAACUUCGGGAAACCGGAGCUAAUACCGGAUAAUAUAUUGAACCGCAUGGUUCAAUAGUGAAAGACGGUUUUGCUGUCACUUAUAGAUGGAUCCGCGCCGCAUUAGCUAGUUGGUAAGGUAACGGCUUACCAAGGCGACGAUGCGUAGCCGAACUGAGAGGGUUAUCGGCCACACUUGAACUGAGACACGGUCCAG